Small nuclear RNA from Callithrix jacchus (white-tufted-ear marmoset), 95 nucleotides. Lineage: Eukaryota; Metazoa; Chordata; Mammalia; Primates; Cebidae. The record is from Ensembl.
ACGUAUACAUGUACUAAAAAACUGGAAGGAUACAGAGAUGAGCAUGGCCCCUGUCCAAGGAUGACAUGCAAAUUUGUGAAGCAUUGCAUUAAAAA